GACGAACGCUGGCGGCGUGCUUAACACAUGCAAGUCGAACGGAAAGGCCCUGCUUUUGUGGGGUGCUCGAGUGGCGAACGGGGGAGUAACACGUGAGUAACCUGCCCUUGACUUUGGGAUAACUCCAGGAAACUGGGGCUAUUACCGGAUAGGAGCUCUUGCUGCAUGGUGGGGGUUGGAAAGUUUCGGCGGUUGGGGAUGGACUCGCGGCUUAUCAGCUUGUUGGUGGGGUAGUGGCUUACCAAGGUUUUGACGGGUAGCCGGCCUGAGAGGGUGACCGGCCACAUUGGGACUGAGAUACGGCCCAGACUCCUACGGGAGGCAGCAGUGGGGAAUAUUGCACAAUGGGCGGAAGCCUGAUGCAGCAACGCCGCGUGCGGGAUGACGGCCUUCGGGUUGUAAACCGCUUUCGCCUGUGACGAAGCGUGAGUGACGGUAAUGGGUAAAGAAGCACCGGCUAACUACGUG
This 468-nucleotide ribosomal RNA is filed under the name uncultured bacterium. RNAcentral describes it as "partial 16S ribosomal RNA". It matches the Rfam family "Bacterial small subunit ribosomal RNA", at positions 28 to 507 of the family's 1533-position model. The record is from RNAcentral.